Molecule: long non-coding RNA, 1173 nt
Organism: Triplophysa dalaica
Lineage: Eukaryota; Metazoa; Chordata; Actinopteri; Cypriniformes; Nemacheilidae
Exons: 3
Source: RefSeq, a predicted model, not a curated record
AAGUUACAUGCUUCGACAGUUGGGAUACCACACUCGCUCGUGAUUAUUCUGUGGUGUAAUUCAAAUUUGCAAAUGCAGUCAUCCGUUAAAUCGAGCGCCCAAAUUAAAAUGAGUCACCAUAGCUUGAGGUAAGUCGAUGUUCACGGAGGAUAGCCCGGUAAAGUGAUUAAUGUACGUAACCAUCUAGAUAUACAGUUUAUGUAUCGGAGGCCAGCUGAGAGCUUGAGCAAAAGACGUUAGCGACAUCCUCAUCGUUAGAGCAGGACUGUCUCCCAAAUAGGACCGUUGGAGGGUGGGAGUGAGACCCGUUACAAAAUACUAGUGUGACAAUUUCUUGACCGUGACAUCCCUAACGUUAGUUGGAUUACAUUUCUGUAUAAGUACGGUUUUAAGUGUAAGUUACUCUGUUUAAUUUGCUUAGAGUUUGUUUGUAGAGUCACUUAUACUAAAAUGUAGUUUAAAUGUAAAAUGCUUAAAGAUAAUUGUAUAGUCACUAUUAACUAUUACUAUUGUCACAUGUAUAAUUGUUUGUUUUAGGACACACUUUGCCAUGCAGGCCACUGGAUGCUGACUACUGAAGGUUAGGUUGUGUGUGACGGUGCUCAGCACAGCUUCAUGUCUGGCCUUACCACUCUGUUCAUAGCAUGUUACAUAUUCAGGCUUGAGUACCAGGAUGGGGCAGCGUGUAUCUUGGAGUCCAAUGAAAGAUAUUAAUCCAGAGAGUGGAACAAGAAGAAGCGUCAUCUAAAAUGCCAGGAUACAGAAGAAACAGGUUGCAGUGAACCCACAUGUUGCCGCUCUUCUAAACACAAUGAUGAAUAUUCAGUGUAAUCGAUGAAAAUUCCAGCUACUUGUUGUGCUCUGAUGGAUCAAGAUGUGGACCGUUUUACAGACUCACUUGGGCCUUGUUUUGCAAUGUUGUUUCAUGAUGGUAAUGUUGGUUAACGUGUUGUUUAAACAUGAAUGUUUAAAGAGCCAUGUUGGAUACUAUGAAGUUGUUACUGAAUAAAAUGAUUUCAUGUACAACAACGUACACAAUUUGUCUGUAAUGUAUUUUUGUAUCAAUUAAAAAAAAAUAAACACUGUAUAUCCAGUAUGCAAAACAUACUGGAUAUACAGUGAUUUAUGUAUUUCUUCUAAAUAAAGUAAAUUAAAAUCAAGCAAUUUGCUGUA